AAUUUAAUUUAUGAAUUAAAUUUUUUAGUCAAAAAGCUAAAAUAUUUUUAUUGGACGAGAAGACCCUAUAAAUCUUUACAGGUCAUUAAAUUUAAUAAUUUGGGGAAUUACUUAUUUUUAAUUAAUUUCUUGUUUGGUUGGGGUGAUUGUAAAAUUUUAUGAACUUCUAUUGUUUAGUUUUCAAUAAUUAUUGUUUUAUUGAUCCAUAUAUAAUGAUUAAAAAAUUAAGUUACCUUAGGGAUAACAGCGUAAUUCUUUCGGAAAGUUCAUAUUGAUGAAGGA
Molecule: ribosomal RNA, 282 nt
Filed under: Rhodnius pictipes
Lineage: Eukaryota; Metazoa; Arthropoda; Insecta; Hemiptera; Reduviidae
Description: partial 16S ribosomal RNA
Source: RNAcentral